GUCAUAUGUCAGGUAUCAAUCCAUAUCCAUUGUGAUUUAGGAAUGUUAGGUGAUUUCUUCCCUUUAUGGAUUAAGACCAGACUCUGCAUCAACUGUGUAAUUUUCCAUGGGAGUUUUGCCAUGGAUCCCUCUCCGGCAUGCCACAGUCCAGGUGUUAGUCCCCUUGAAACAACUUUUCCAUCACUAUUGUGGCCAGAAAGAGUCCCUGUGUGUUUUAAAAUUUGCCUGCCCAUUGAAGUCUAUG
Molecule: long non-coding RNA, 244 nt
Filed under: Pelobates cultripes (western spadefoot toad)
Lineage: Eukaryota; Metazoa; Chordata; Amphibia; Anura; Pelobatidae
Source: RNAcentral